Long non-coding RNA from Hyaena hyaena (striped hyena), 956 nucleotides. RefSeq lists it as uncharacterized. The transcript has 3 exons. The record is from RefSeq and is a predicted model, not a curated record. NCBI's taxonomy places the organism in Eukaryota, Metazoa, Chordata, Mammalia, Carnivora, Hyaenidae.
GGACAAAGUGAAUGAUGGUAAGAAUUCCAAGAACAUCAGGAUAGCCUCGGAAAAGAGCCUCAGUGCAGGCCACACCCCCCUCUACGUAAGGGAGCGGGAGGAGCAGCUGGUGGGAAGGGAGCGGACUCGGGCUGCAUCAGCUGAUCCGGAGCCUGAAGCGCCCUGCAGCCAUUUUGGUUACUGGUACCUCCACAACUGCUGACCGUUUCUCCAGGAUCCCGAAGAAUAAGUCUCUAUCAGGGUUCAAGCUAAGAAGCAAAACUACCAGAAUGGAGACAGAGCUAUAUAAUAUGAAGACAUUUGACCCUACACAAUUUUGGAGUUAAACUAUAUAAGGCUGCUACCUUUGGAUCUGUGGCUGGAGCUUGAAGUCCCCAAGGCUGAGAGUCAGGAAGGGAAGAUAGAGGAGAUUCACGACAACCUGGAAUGUGGAAGCACAAGCCAUGUUCAUGGGGACCACCUGAAACAAAAGCUAGCUUCUGCUGCCUCUGAACCUGAUGUCCUGCAGAAGCUGGAGUCCUUCAUUACAGAACUGAACACACAUUUGUCUCAGGAGUCAGCACUGAAAGGAGGAUCCAGCGGAAGACUGAGCAAUUUGCCUUAUCUGGCUAUCUGGCUUGGCUGCUGCUGCAUGCCAGUGAGGUAAACCAGCAGGGAAGCAACAAUAUACAUGAGCUACAAAGUGACUACUUUGUGUCACUUCUGUAAAUCUAAAACAAGGUUUACAGUGAAACAAGUCACUACAAAGUAUCACUACUGUAAAUCUGAAACAAGAAUCUCUUUUGUGACCCACCCCAGCCAGAAACACAUAAAAGAGAACUCCAGGAAAAGUAGGUUGACAGAUUGCAAAGCCACCAAGCACACACUUGCACUGUUAUAAGAAUAGAAAGGCACAUUGCUGGCUCAGUCAGUGGAGCAUGCUACUCUUGAUCCCAGGGUCAUGAGUUCGAGCCCUA